This 315-nucleotide ribosomal RNA is filed under the name uncultured bacterium. RNAcentral describes it as "bacterial SSU rRNA". It matches the Rfam family "Bacterial small subunit ribosomal RNA", at positions 32 to 325 of the family's 1533-position model. The record is from RNAcentral.
AAUCAACGCUGGCGGCGUGCCUCAGACAUGCAAGUCGAACGAGAAAGUUUCCUUCGGGAGACGAGUACAGUGGCGUCCGGGUGAGUAACACGUGGGUAAUUUACCUUUGGGUGGGGAAUAGCAGCCGGAAACGGCUAUUAAUACCGCAUAAUGCAGCGGCUCGACAUCGAGACAGUUGUUAAAGCGGGGAUCUGACAAGGACCUCGCGCCUAAAGAGAAGCCUGCGUCAGAUAGCUAGUUGGUAGGGUAAUGGCCCACCAAGGCUGUGAUCUGUAGCCGGCCUGAGAGGGCGGUCGGCCACACUGACACUGACAC